UAGAAGUUUUAUCAUGGCUCAGAUUGAACGCUGGCGGCAGGCUUAACACAUGCAAGUCGAGCGGUAGCACAGGGGAGCUUGCUCCCUGGGUGACGAGCGGCGGACGGGUGAGUAAUGUCUGGGAAACUGCCUGAUGGAGGGGGAUAACUACUGGAAACGGUAGCUAAUACCGCAUAACGUCGCAAGACCAAAGAGGGGGACCUUCGGGCCUCUUGCCAUCAGAUGUGCCCAGAUGGGAUUAGCUAGUAGGUGGGGUAAUGGCUCACCUAGGCGACGAUCCCUAGCUGGUCUGAGAGGAUGACCAGCCACACUGGAACUGAGACACGGUCCAGACUCCUACGGGAGGCAGCAGUGGGGAAUAUUGCACAAUGGGCGCAAGCCUGAUGCAGCCAUGCCGCGUGUGUGAAGAAGGCCUUCGGGUUGUAAAGCACUUUCAGCGAGGAGGAAGGUGGUGAGCUUAAUACGCUCAUCAAUUGACGUUACUCGCAGAAGAAGCACCGGCUAACUCCGUGCCAGCAGCCGCGGUAAUACGGAGGGUGCAAGCGUUAAUCGGAAUUACUGGGCGUAAAGCGCACGCAGGCGGUUUGUUAAGUCAGAUGUGAAAUCCCCGGGCUCAACCUGGGAACUGCAUUUGAAACUGGCAAGCUAGAGUCUCGUAGAGGGGGGUAGAAUUCCAGGUGUAGCGGUGAAAUGCGUAGAGAUCUGGAGGAAUACCGGUGGCGAAGGCGGCCCCCUGGACGAAGACUGACGCUCAGGUGCGAAAGC
This 765-nucleotide ribosomal RNA is filed under the name Serratia sp. (in: enterobacteria). RNAcentral describes it as "bacterial SSU rRNA". It matches the Rfam family "Bacterial small subunit ribosomal RNA", at positions 1 to 760 of the family's 1533-position model. Lineage: Bacteria; Pseudomonadati; Pseudomonadota; Gammaproteobacteria; Enterobacterales; Yersiniaceae. The record is from RNAcentral.